Macaca mulatta (Rhesus monkey) is the source of this 5341-nucleotide long non-coding RNA. The record is from Ensembl. Lineage: Eukaryota; Metazoa; Chordata; Mammalia; Primates; Cercopithecidae.
UUGUUUUUUAAUGAACCAAGAAUGAGGAUGAGAAAUUACUUAAUGGGUAUAACGUAUACUAUUCAGGUGACAGCCACACUAAAAGCCCAGACUCCACCACUACCCGAUAUACCCAUGUAACAAAACUGCAGUUUUGCCCCUUACAUUUAUACAAAUAAAAAACAGGCUGGGCACGGUGGCUCAUGUCUGUAAUCCCAGCACUUUGGGAGGCCAAGGCAGGUGAAUCGCUUGAGCUCAGGAGUUCAAGACCAGCCUGGGCAACAUGAUGAAACCCCAUCUCUACCAAAAACACAAAAAGUUAGCCAGGUGUACUGAGAGGCUAAGGUGGGAGGAUCACCUGAGCCUGUGAGGUCGAGGCUGCAGUGAGCUGUGAUCACACCACCACCACUCCAGCCUGGGUGACAGAGUGAGACCGUAUCUCAAAACCAACAACAACGAAGAAUGGGGAAAGGAUUUUAGACAUUUUUAUUUAGGGAUCUAAUAUUCCUGACUAAAUCCAAGGAUUCUCUCUGAAAGUCAGGGACAUUCUCUUCAGAAGGCGUGGUGUAAAGAGAUGGAUAGGUAGAAUCUCUUCCUAUAAUCCUCUUGCAGCUAAUUGCCAGACAAUUUACAUGAGCAUGUAUAACAGUAUCUGUAGAAAGUAAAUACAUGAUCCUGGAUAUUUGUGUACCAGAAGGGAGUGAAAUGCAUGGUUAAGAGCACAAAUUUUGGUAUCAAACAACCUGAGUUCAGUUCUCAGUUCUGCUUCUAAGUAUGGGAGUGAAUUUAGGGGCAUAAGGCCCAUGUUCUGGAAGAAUCUAGGAAGCAGCUGGAUGGGCAUUAAGGAAUUAAACUCUUGAAUGCCCCUUGAACAAUCACUUUUAUGAGGGAAUGCUUUUGAGUACUCAGUGCUGCCCUGAGAGCCGCUUCUCAGCUGGAAGCAGUUGGAAACCGAUAAUCUCAGCCUUAGAUUCUAGGGGGUCUGUCAAGGCUGUCAUUUUAUGUUAUCACUUCAAGGUUCAGCAUGCAGAACAAUUUCUUAGCCAUCAUGAAAUGUUUCCUGGUAGCCAGCUCAGGCUCUACAGAUAUACCACCCUAACUCUUCCAGUAAAAGAAAGCCAUUUUCAGAAAAACAGAACUUCCUCCAGAGGUUUUAUAGUCAAAGGCACGUGGUGAAUGUCACAGAUUGGGUUUUUGGAGAAGAACCCUGAGAUGGAGUUUAGUGUACAGGAUGCUUAUUAACGAGUAUCCUUGGGAACAACCCCGGUGGAAAGGAAAAGAGGGAAGCAGGACUGGGCAGAGGGAGAAGUCAAGUUGCCAAACAACAGGCUGAGCCAAAUCCCAACACUGUCCCACACUGGGCUGAAAGGGCUGGGCCUUUCUACCCACACAGGAAGCAUUCCCUGGAUGUGGGCUGCCCUGGGAAGCAUAUGGCCUUGGGCGAGUAGCUCUGCACUUCUAGGCCCUCCUUGGAGGCGCCAACAGAUGAAGCUUGUCUGUGACAACACGCCCAGCAACCCAAGCAAUAAGCUAGUGGGAGAGAAAGAUGUGACCAACUCUGACUGUGAACUACACACAGAAAUAACACAUCUCUUGCAGACCAAGCAUUUAAUUGUUAUUUAAAGACCCUCCAAAGCUCCUUUCCCCUGUAGUGAUUUCAAGAUGGUGGCUGCUCGAUGAGCCUGGGCCCCGAGGAAUGACAGUGAGGAGAACCCCUCAUCAACCAGUGCGAUGGAAUGUAGUAUGAGCAAAACUUAAAUCUGAGUUCUUUAAAGCCACUGAGAUUUGGGGGUCGUUCGUUACUGCAGUAUUGUGAGCUUUCUAUUGUGUGUCAUCAAUAGCAGCAUAGGAAGCUACGUUGGAUGCUUUUAAAUGAUUUGAAGACGAGACACCUUAUGACCUUAAACAAUCAAGGAACUGGUUUCAAAUCAUCAUCAUCACUUCCAGCAGCGACAUCAUAGCUAACGUUAGCACUAACAUGAAUUUGUUACUGGAAAGGGGUCCUGCUCCAGACCUGAAGAGAGACCUCUCGGACCUCGAGCAAGAAAGAAUUCAGGGCAAGUCCAUAAAGUGAAAGCAAGCUUAUUUGAGAAAUAAACAAAAGAAUGGCUACCCUAUAGGCAGAGACAUGGCAUGGGCUGCUUGACUGAAUAUAGUUAUUUCUCGACUAUAUGCUAAACAAGGGGUAGAUUGUUCAUAAGCUUUCCGGGGAAAGAGGUGGAGAUUUCUUGGAACUGAGAGUCCCUCCCCUUUUUAGACUAUGUAGGGUAACUUCCAAACGUUGCCAUGGCAUUUGUAAAUUGUCACAGUAGUGAUGGGAGUGUCUUUUAGUAUGCUAAUGCAUUAUAAUUCGCAUAUACUGAGCAGUAAGGACAACUAGAGGUCACUUUCAUCACCAUCUUGGUUUUGGUGGGUUUUGGAGGGCUUUCUUAUGACAUCCGGUUUUAUCAGUAGGGCGGUUGUGACCUGUAUCUUGUGCUGAUCUCCUAUCUCAUCCUGUGACUAAGAAUGCCUAGUCUCCUGGGAAUGCAGCCCGGCAGGUCUCAGUCUCAUUUUACCCCUAUUUAAGAUGGAAUUGCUAUGGUUCAAAUGCCUCUGAUAAAUUCACUAAUUUAAUGCUCAAACAACCUAUGGAUGACACAGGUAUUAUUAUUUUCUACAUUUUAGAGAUGAAACAACUGAUGCUUAAAGAGAUUUAUUAACUCGUACAUAGCCAGGGUGUGCAAUCUAUAGCCUGAAGUUCAAAUCCAGUUAAGUGCCUGUUUUUGUAAAUAAAGUUUUGUUGGAACACAGCCAUGCCCAUUCAUUACAUAUUACGUAUUUAUGGCUGUUUUCAUGAUACAGUGACUGAGUUGAGUAGUUGCAUAUGGCUUGCAAACCUCAAAAUACAGUUGGCCCUCCAUAUGUGAGGGCUCCACUUUUGUGGAUUCAACCAACCAAGAAUCAAAAAUAUUUGAAAAUAAAAAUAAAAAAGCAAUACAAUAAAAUAAUAUAAAUUAAAAACAAUACAACACCAUAACUCUUUGCAUAGCAUUUACAUGGUAUUAGGUAUUAUAAGUAAUCCAGAGAUGAUUUAAAGUAUACGAGAGGACGUGCAUAGGUUAUAUGCAAGUACUGGGCCAUUUUGUAUCAGGGACUCGAGCAUCCAUGGAUUUUGUUACCCAUGGGGUAUCCUGGAAGGAAUCCCCUAUGCAUAUUGAAGGACAACUGUACUUACCAUCCAGCCCUUUACAGAAAAAGUUUGCCCACCCUCACCCCUAGCAGUAGUAAGCGGCAGAGCCUGAUUCCAAACCCAGGUUGUCUGACUCCAGAGACAACACUCAUAACUCAGAUAUAAAUAAACAUUAGGUAGGCUUGGAACCCUGUUGGAAUGUUAUGAAACUUUUCUAUUUCCAUUUUCCUAAUCAUGUGUUUUUUUCAUUUAAAAAUUUCCUGAUGUUUACUUCCAGCAAUAUGACAGAAUCUAUAUCCUGAAAAUUCUCCCCCAAAAAAGCACCUUUAAAAUGCUGGAUAAAAUAAGUAGCUAACUUGGCAAGAAAUUAAAGUAUCUUAAUCCCCAGAGGCCAAAAAUGAAGUCGGAAGCCAGAAUUCAGAAUGAGCAUGGUAAAUGUUCACUGGAGCAGGCAUCAGACCCUGAGGGCAUUUGCCAGUGUUUUGUAAAUUAGAACUUUCAGUUUUUACAUCCAUGUCGGGGGAAGGGGGGACAGGAGAGGCAGGCGACAAAGCAGUGCAGUGUCAGCAUGGAGACUUUGGAAUGAGUCCCCAAAGGCCCACAUUCCCAAUAAAAGAGUGAACUAGAAAAUAUUUGCCAUGCAAAGGAAAUAGCAAAGAAAAUUUUGCAUGUUAACCUUGAUUUUGGUUGGAAGAAAAAAUAAGAGUCCCUACCCCCUACCAGAAGUUAUAAUCACCAGUCAGGCCUCAAGUCUGGGUUCAAAUUCACUCUGUGUACCUAUUCUGAAACUAUUUUAAAUAAACAAACCAAAAAAAAAUUUUUUUAAAUGACCAGGCACUUGGCAAAGGUAAACACAAAUAUAAGGAAUGUUCUCCAAUUCAAGCCUCAUAAAAUUCUCACAACUAGUGCCUCAACAAAAAUGAGCUCACAAUUUUUAUAAAAUCACAAGACCACCCAUGUAGUAAGACAUCAUCAGACAGGGUUAGAAACAUCAAACAGUAGAAUCAGACAUUCAGGCUUUGGGUUGGAAUUAUCACAUAGAGCAAGGUUAGCAAACUUUUCUCUAAAAGGCCACAUAGUAUACAUUUUAGGCUUUGCAAGCCAUACAGUCUCUGUCAAAAACACUCAGCCUUGCUAUUCUAGUAUAAAAGCAGCCAUGGGCAGUAUGCAAAUGAAUGGGCUUGCCUGUGUUUUAAUAAAACUAUAUUUACAAAAACUGAGAGUGUGCCAGAAAACCAUACCUUAUAAAUAAAUGUUUUCUAUAUUUAAAGAAAGCUUUAAAACAUUAGCAAGGAACAAAAUACUCUUAGAAACAUCGAAAAAGAUUCUUAACUUCUGAAAGUAAAAUAGUUGAAUUUUAAAAUUCAGCAUAUGAGUUGACUAACAAAUUAGAAAUGAAAUGUAUAAUUAAUAAAUUGAAAGUUGGAUAAGACAAAACUACUUAGAAUAUAGUUCAGAGAGAGAAAGAGAAGGAUAUCAUGAUAUAGACAUGAAAGUAAGUGAGAAGUGUUAACAUUAAUCUAAUGAAAGUUCCAGAAAGAGUGACUAGAGAAAAUGAGAUGGACACAAUAUUCAAUCAUUUGUAUGGUUCCUUAUAUUUAGGAAGUACAAAAAAUUCUAAAGAAUAUUCACACCCAGACUUAUCCUGGUGAAAUGAAAGAACAUUAAAGACAAAUUUAAUAGCUUAAAAACAGCUAGAGAAAAAGACAGCUUUCCUGUUUUACAUCUAACUUCUUAUGAACAGAGCAGAAAGCAAAAGAUUACAAGAUGAUGUCUUCAAAGUGCUGGGAAAACUGUUUCAAUUUACAAUUGGAUACCCAGUAAAACUUAUCUUUCAUGAGGAUGCAAUAGAAUAUAUUUAGGUGAACAAAAGCCAAGAUAAUUUACUAUGGACAGAUUCUUAGUAAAGGAACUUCCUGAGGAUAUAUAUACUUUGGAAAGAAGGAUAUAUAUACUUCUCCAGAAAGGAGAUGUGAGCUGUAAGUUGUAAGAAAGAUAACCAUGUGAUCAAAGACAUUUGUAGUCACAUGGAUACAUCUAAAUAAAUAUCAACACUAAUAAAUCUAAUUUGGGAAGUUAUAAAAGUCAGAGGUUGGGAGAGAUGAGCUUCUAAAGCAGAGGUCAUAUUCUAUUUCUUAAAAUGGUAAAUAUAUGAAUGUAUGUGUGUGUGUGUGUGUGUGUGCAAACAUG